GAAAAUAAACCUGAUGGGUUGUUGCUGGCUCUCUAGGGAGCAUGUGCACACCUUGUCAUCUUUAUAUCUCCACCUGUGCACCUUUUGUAGACAUCUUUCCCUAGGUGUCUAUGUUGAUUCUUCAUUUACCCCCAAUGUAUGUCAAUAGAAUGUUGUGAUAAAAAUCUAUACAACUUUCAGCAACGGAUCUCUUGGCUCU
RNAcentral lists this unclassified non-coding RNA (199 nucleotides) under rhizosphere metagenome. RNAcentral describes it as "partial ribosomal RNA internal transcribed spacer region". The record is from RNAcentral.